UGUCUCCAAACAAGGACAGACAAACAUCACAGCUGAACCUGGACAUGACGUCUCUCUGCCAUGUAGAGCUGGACAUGAUGGAGACAUCGAUGCUGUGAGGUGGAUCAGACCUGAUCUG
Molecule: long non-coding RNA, 118 nt
Organism: Melanotaenia boesemani (Boeseman's rainbowfish)
Lineage: Eukaryota; Metazoa; Chordata; Actinopteri; Atheriniformes; Melanotaeniidae
Exons: 3
Source: RefSeq, a predicted model, not a curated record